GCAGACACAUUCCAGCCAAUCAGCAGCAGACCCUCCCUCCCAGACCCUCCCACCUCCUGGACAGCUCACUAAGAAUGCAGCUUCACAAUGAAUGUAAAAUGGAUGCUGUCCAGGAGGUGGGAGGGUCUGGGAGGGAGGGUCUGCUGCUGAUUGGCUGGAAUGUGUCU
Molecule: non-coding RNA, 167 nt
Organism: Pelobates cultripes (western spadefoot toad)
Lineage: Eukaryota; Metazoa; Chordata; Amphibia; Anura; Pelobatidae
Source: the annotation of a GenBank genome assembly